GCUUCGACACCUGGGGUGUUGUUCAGUGCGUGUUGUUUCUUCCUCCGACACCUGGGUUGCUUCUCAGUGCUAUCGUGUCUUUGCUACUUCACUCCACAGAGAGGGAGAUAGUGAAGGAAGUGGUGCUGAGAAUUGCGCAUCCGCUUCUGACGACUUUUGGCAAUAUCAGCUGCAAUCGAUUUGCGGCUAAUUCAUCUGGAACAUCUGUAGAUUUUGAAGCUUCACAGCAUAUUUGAGGACAGCGAAAGAGAGAAAAGAAGGAGAAGAGAGAGGGGAAAAUCUUGAUUAAAACUAAUCAAGCCAACCAAUAAAAUUGUAACAUUCCUGCUAUAGGAUUAUAUCCAGUGCUUUCCGUGUUGAAUAACCGCAGUUUCUCCCUAGAAGAUUACAUUUGUCAUCAAAACUUGGUAACUAAAGACUCACACUUGGUCAGGAUAAAACUAAAUGUUCAAUCCUUCGAAUCAUUACUUUCACCAAUAGUACUAUCUCCUACAAUCGAAAACCUAUGCAUCCAAGCUAGCCAGCAAAAUUUAGUUAGGGCUAUAAAUGAGUUCCAACAAAGUUUAGCUGACUGGUUUGAAUGGAUCGGUUCUCGACAGUGGCACAUAGUAAGAAUCAGUUACGCCAGAAUAUCAAGUAAAACCAACUGUCCACAGCUUAAGGACCACUAUCAGCUUUGAUGAAGCUGCACUUGCACAAAUUCCUCAAGCAACCAUCACAAGUUGGCACAAUCCAGCAAAUUAAUCUAGCAGCUGCAUUCACAACAACUUUUUAGCUGCUACAUUCAUUUGCUAAAGCCACUGCAAUAUUAAUAUUGGCCCUCAAGCAACCAUCACAAGUUGGCACAAUCCAGCAAAUUAAUCUAGCAGCUGCAUUCACAACAACUUUUUAGCUGCUACAUUCAUUUGCUAAAGCCACUGCAAUAUUAAUAUUGAUCUGCCUGAAGUAGCAAGAAAUUUAUACCUUCCGAUACUAUUAUAUUCAGUUCUCCACAAAUCCUCUUUAGUUACUGCAAGGUAGCACAGAGAUAUCAUCAAUUUCAGCGAUCAAAAAGAUAAACUUUCCUCAAACUUUGCAAUUAGCAAGAUCUGUGAAACACAUUGACAAAGCUAGCCAUAAUAUUUCAGUCACAAUCAAGUUAUAAAACAGGUGUAGCCAAUGAAAUACAUCUACUCCACUGCUUAUAUCAGUUCUUUGCCCUGAUAUACACUUCUUUACCUUCGUUUACUCACUGUUAAACCUGACUGCCUAUGGUAGCACUAAGGUACCCUUUUAUUCGUUUCUGCAUGUUUAUUCCAACCUUUGGUAGUUGAUCAAGGAUAUGAACUAUGUUAUUUGGUGUGAGCUUCAAAAAUUUGUCGCUCUCUUUUUUCCAUUUUAAAAUCCAUCUUUUAUUUUUUUGGUAGCAUUUUUGAACACAAUUUGUACUAAGCUUUCAUUCGAUCAACCAAACACAUUAAGCAAUAGGUUCUAAGACAUUAAACGCAAGUAUGACAAGCUACUAACUAGCUGAUCACAUAUUUAUACAAUCCAAGACAUUCUCUUCACUUCUCCAAUCUUUGACCACAUAUAUUCUUCGUAUUUCAAAACCAAAUCAACUACAGCAAUGAAUUUGCAAUCAUACUUCUGAAUUUCUUCUUCAAUUUGCUACCUUACUGUACUUUUAAUUUAAAAGUCUACAAUAGACAGUUAAUUGAGAAUGGUUGAAAACUUCACAAAUUUUGUCAUCUGCAUUUUGCUACAGGAAUAUCAUAUGCAAAGAGUAAUUUGCUCUGGAUAAUGUUUGUAUGAAGUAAUUUGCUCAAUAUCCUUAGAGUCAUUUACAUGUGCAGUAAUCCGAGGUACUAGCCUUGCACAAAGUCAAAGAACAUCCAGUAUGAUCAUCUUCUGUUUGCAGUUGGACUUUGUCACCAACUCAUUGAUAUUACAUAAUCAGUUAUAGGCCCAGUGACACAUUGUAACCCUCCACUUGAAUUCAUUUAUUGUAAUGGAAAAAUUGUGCCUGACCUCAAAUGGAAGUUGGUAAGGUGUACUUGAGCUCAAAACGUAUGUAAAGACAGUUACACCGGAAUGAGAUGGAGAUUCAAUUAGAACAUUACUUCAUACAAACAUUGUGCUAUAUAAUGUUAUCAAAUCAACAAUAUUCUUAUG
Long non-coding RNA from Rosa rugosa (rugosa rose), 2151 nucleotides. RefSeq lists it as uncharacterized. The transcript has 8 exons. The record is from RefSeq and is a predicted model, not a curated record. Lineage: Eukaryota; Viridiplantae; Streptophyta; Magnoliopsida; Rosales; Rosaceae.